UGCAAUCUUAGCCUCUGAGGAAC
RNAcentral lists this non-coding RNA (23 nucleotides) under Rattus norvegicus (Norway rat). The record is from RNAcentral. Lineage: Eukaryota; Metazoa; Chordata; Mammalia; Rodentia; Muridae.